Molecule: long non-coding RNA, 797 nt
Organism: Cyprinus carpio (common carp)
Lineage: Eukaryota; Metazoa; Chordata; Actinopteri; Cypriniformes; Cyprinidae
Source: Ensembl
AGUUACAAAACCUCCAGCUCAAUAAUACAGAGACACUGAGAAUGGAAACAAAAGUGUUCAUCUGUGUUCUGUGUGCCAGUUUGGUAACACUCUUAGUGCAUAAGACAUCAUCAGCCGCAAUAAAUGAAGGCAUAUUUCUAUCAUACAAACCCUCUGAGCAAGGUCCUGUUAAUGGAAGUAAUUACGAGCAGAUGACUAACCUUACCCUAAAUACAAAUACAACCCAAGAAAGUAUUUUGGAAAAGACCAUUGCACCGAACCUUGUAGAGGUACUGUUCAGUGCUUUCAUUUCUCAUGAAAAAAGAAAAAAAAAACUGACCUACUCAGAAAUCUAUCCUGUAAGUCAGGGGUCUCCAACCCUGCUCCUGGAGAGCUACUGUCCUGCAAAUUUCAACUCCAACUCCAAUCAAACACACCCGAACCAGCUAAUCAAGGUGUUCAGGGCUACUUGAUAAUUACAGACAGGUGUGUUGGAGCAGGGUUGGAACUGAUGAUAGCUCUCCAGGAGCAGGGUUGGAGAUCCCUGCAAUACAUUUUAUCUAGGGGUUGUAGGGUUCUUAGGGAAAUCAUUUAUGAAAUUAUAUGAGUUUUUCUGGUCAUCAUUUAUUCACGCUCGUGUCGUUCCCAACCGUAUACUGUUAUUUUCUGCAUGGAACACAAAAGGAGGUAGUUUGAUGUCUAUAUUCACACAACCACAUACACGGGGGUGAGUAAAUGAUAACACAAGGCUAAAUAUUACUUUAAAUGAUUUACAUAGUGUUACAGCCAUAGCUGCUUGUGGUUUGUCUAAUAACACA